RNAcentral lists this transfer RNA (71 nucleotides) under Loxodonta africana (African savanna elephant). It matches the Rfam family "tRNA". From Rfam's summary of the family: Transfer RNA (tRNA) molecules are approximately 80 nucleotides in length. Their secondary structure includes four short double-helical elements and three loops (D, anti-codon, and T loops). The record is from Rfam by way of RNAcentral. Lineage: Eukaryota; Metazoa; Chordata; Mammalia; Proboscidea; Elephantidae.
AUAUUGGUGAUUUAGUGGUAGAAUUCUUUCCUUCCAUGUAGGAGACCUGGGUUCAAUUCCUGGCCAAUGUA